GUGGAUUCUCAAGCGUGAGGUAAGAGCAUUUGGUGGAUGCCUUGGCAUGUGCAGGCGAUGAAGGACGUGGCACGCUGCGAUAAGCGUCGGGGAGAUGUGAGCAAUCUUUGAUCCGGCGAUUUCCGAAUGGGGAAACCCACCCUCACCAUUUCCUUUCGAUUGUUUUCGGACAGUCGGAAAGAGGUGGAUAGGGUAUCACCAGACUGAAUACAUAGGUUUGGUGAAGCGAACCCGGGGAACUGAAACAUCUCAGUACCCGGAGGAAAAGACAUCAACAGAGAUUCCCGUAGUAGUGGCGAGCGAACCGGGACCAGGCCAGUGCCUUCAUUUCAACUAGCAAAACACUUUGGAAAGAGUGGCCAUAGCGGGUGACAGCCCCGUAUGCGAAAGUGAUGAUGAAGGACUCGAGUAGGGCGGGACACGUGAAAUCCUGUCUGAACAUGGGGGGACCACCCUCCAAGCCUAAAUACUCGCACAUGACCGAUAGCGAACACAGUACCGUGAGGGAAAGGUGAAAAGCACCCCGAUUAGGGGAGUGAAACAGUACCUGAAACCGGAUGCUUACAAGCAGUUGGAGCCCCAUAGGGGGUGACAGCGUACCUCUUGCAUAAUGGGUCAGUGACUUAAUCUACCAUGCAAGCUUAAGCCGUUAGGUGUAGGCGCAGCGAAAGCGAGUCUGAAUAGGGCGACUGAGUAUGAUGGAUUAGACCCGAACCCCGGCGAUCUAGGCAUGGCCAGGUUGAAGGUGCAGUAACAUGCACUGGAGGACCGAACCGGUGAAUGUUGAAAAAUUCUCGGAUGAGCUGUGUUUAGGGGUGAAAGGCCAAUCAAGCCGGGAAAUAGCUGGUUCUCCGCGAAAUCUAUUGAGGUAGAGCGUCGGAUGUAUGCCGAUGGGGGUAGAGCACUGGAUGGGCUAGGGCUGCGCGAGCGGUACCAAACCUAACCAAACUCCGAAUACCAUCGAGUCUUAUCCGGCAGACAGACGGCGGGUGCUAAGGUCCGUCGUCAAAAGGGAAACAGCCCUAACCUACAGCUAAGGUCCCCAAGUCAUAUCUAAGUGGGAAAGCAUGUGGGAAUCCCAAAACAACCAGGAGGUUGGCUUAGAAGCAGCCAUCCUUUAAAGAAAGCGUAACAGCUCACUGGUCUAAACAAGGGUUCCUGCGGCGAAGAUGUAACGGGGCUAAAGAUAUGCACCGAAGCUUAGGGUUCAGAAUUUAUUCUGAGCGGUAGCGGAGCGUUCCGUAAGCGAGUGAAGGCGAAGGGUAACCGACGCUGGACGUAUCGGAAGUGCGAAUGCUGACAUGAGUAGCGACAAACAGGGUGAGAUGCCCUGUCGCCGAAAGACCAAGGGUUCCUGCGCAACGCUAAUCGGCGCAGGGUUAGCCGGCCCCUAAGACGAGCCCGAAGGGGGUAGUCGAUGGGAACCACGUAAAUAUUCGUGGGCCUGAAGAUGUGUGACGGAUCGUGGAAGUUGUUUUCUCUUAUUGGAUUGAGAGGGCAGCCAAGCGGUUCCAGGAAAUAGCCUCUUCACUAUAGACCGUACCCGAAACCGACACAGGUGGUCAGGUAGAGUAUACCAAGGCGCUUGAGAGAAGUAUCCUGAAGGAACUCGGCAAAUUGCCUCCGUACCUUCGGAAGAAGGAGGCCCCAUAUCGACGCAAGUCUUUGUGGGGGGCACAGGCCAGGGGGUAGCGACUGUUUAGCAAAAACACAGCACUCUGCUAAGUCGGCUUCAAGACGACGUAUAGGGUGUGACGCCUGCCCGGUGCUCGAAGGUUAAGAGGAGGAGUGCAAGCUCCGAAUUGAAGCCCGAGUAAACGGCGGCCGUAACUAUAACGGUCCUAAGGUAGCGAAAUUCCUUGUCGGGUAAGUUCCGACCUGCACGAAUGGCGUAACGACUUCCCCACUGUCUCCAGGAUAUGCUCAGCGAAAUUGAAUUCUCCGUGAAGAUGCGGAGUACCCGCGGUUAGACGGAAAGACCCCGUGCACCUUUACUGCAGCUUCAGAGUGGCAUUAGGAAAUUACUGUGUAGAAUAGGUGGGAGGCUUUGAAACAUCGGCGCCAGCUGGUGUGGAGCCAACCUGUGAAAUACCACCCUGUGAUUUUCUGAUGUCUAACCACGCACCGUUAUCCGGUGUUGGGACCCUCUGUGGCGGGUAGUUUGACUGGGGCGGUCGCCUCCUAAAGAGUAACGGAGGCGCGCGAUGGUAUGCUCAGGACGGUUGGAAACCGUCUGCAAGAGUGCAAUGGCAUAAGCAUGCCUGACUGCGAGACCGACAGGUCGAGCAGAGACGAAAGUCGGUCAUAGUGAUCCGGUGGUCCCUCGUGGAAGGGCCAUCGCUCAACGGAUAAAAGGUACGCCGGGGAUAACAGGCUGAUGAUUCCCAAGAGCUCAUAUCGACGGAAUCGUUUGGCACCUCGAUGUCGGCUCAUCACAUCCUGGGGCUGGAGCAGGUCCCAAGGGUUUGGCUGUUCGCCAAUUAAAGUGGUACGUGAGCUGGGUUCAGAACGUCGCGAGACAGUUUGGUCCCUAUCUGCCGUGGGCGUCGAUUGUUGAAAGGAGUUGCCCCUAGUACGAGAGGACCGGGGUGAACAUACCUCUGGUGUACCUGUCAUCCUGCCAAGGGUGCCGCAGGGUAGCUAUGUAUGGACGGGAUAACCGCUGAAAGCAUCUAAGCGGGAAGCCUCCCUUGAGAUAAGCAAUCUUCGAACCGUCAUAGACCAUGACGUUGAUAGGCCGGGUGUGGAAGCGCAGUAAUGCGUGUAGCUAACCGGUCCUAAUAGUUCUUUUCGCGCUUG
RNAcentral lists this ribosomal RNA (2799 nucleotides) under Qipengyuania citrea. RNAcentral describes it as "23S ribosomal RNA". It matches the Rfam family "Bacterial large subunit ribosomal RNA". Lineage: Bacteria; Pseudomonadati; Pseudomonadota; Alphaproteobacteria; Sphingomonadales; Erythrobacteraceae. RNAcentral also lists the same sequence under 1 other name. The record is from RNAcentral.